GCUGCCUGGGAAUCACGCUCCUUCCUGCUCUUUCCAAAAAGCCAGGUGCCGCCGGCCAGCAUCCCGCUCCCUUUGACCCGCAGUCUGUGCGGGAAGUAGGCCCGGAGUGGUGCCAGCAGGAGGUGGCCUUAGAAAGGCGGAGACCCAAGGAGCAGAGUGAGUCGGCGUCCAGCUCCACCUGAAAGCGCCAUCUUGUCGCCACUUCCCUCAGGAGCAGCAUGCCCAGCCUCUUGCAUAGGAAGAAGUGGUAAGCUAAGGAGAGAAAUGCAGGGUUCCUAGUACACCAAUUUUCCAACUUUUUCAUCUUGGCCCUGCUUUAAAAUGAUGCAUCUACUGUCUUCAUGCCUCAGCACAGCAGAGAAAACCAUGCUGUGUUCCAGUUUACUUUGAAUGUUUCAGUGAAAAUGAUGAAGCUGAAAAAAUGACGGAGGCCCGUUUUACAUUGCAUUUCUCAGAGUCAUCGCCUCUGCUGCAGAUGGAACAACAGCCAUGGAGAAUGAGGGUCACCUGAAUGUGGAAAAGUUGAGUUGGAGCAAAACUGGCACGGCCAUACUGGAUGGACCUCAGCAUGACCAGGACACAUUUCAGCUCAAAUCCCCUGUGCCAAGAACACAUUCUGCCAAGGACCACCACCUCUUCCCACAACUAGAGCUGGCUUACCAGAGCACCGAUGGACUUGGAUACCUGAGAUAUCUGCUUGGGAUCCCACACUUUCAAGGUCUCUCCUCUGGCCUUCUUCUGGUUCUGCGACUCCUUACAGCGCUGGGAGUUGGUGAUGCCAACAGGACAUACGCUCCCAGAGCCUACCUCUCCCAGAUCACUUUAAAAGGCACCCAGGACCCCAGAAUUCUCAUCCUCAAAGGCAUGGAGCUCAGCUCUUGGCCCUCAACAAAUCUCUUCCCCAUAAAGAUCCUUUUGAGAGCUUAGGAUGUCCCCCGGAUGGUUUUGGUUGCAGAUUGUGGUGGUGGAGGGAGCUAUACAAUUUAAUCUAUUGCCAUUAAUUGGAUGCGCUAAUGGCAGAUUGGGUAGUGAUAAUGCCAUAAGAGGUAGUGUGUGAGCCGUGUGCUGCAUCUGUGCUAGCUCAGGUAAGUCAGCACACAGCACCUGCAGCCUCCUCUCACCUCUUCCCUGAGCAGCACCUUUUCACCUGAACAUGCUGAUCCCCUAGUGCUUCAUCUUGACAGCAACUUAACAAGCCCUGGGCAGCUUUUUAAAAUAAAUGACUAUGAUAUUGACUAUGAAUCUACAUAAAAGCCACUUGUUUUUUAGUCAUAAUCUGUGUCUAACUGCAGAAGAAAUUCACACCUUUGAAAAACAAAUAAAAAUGUAAAAAGUGAAAA
This 1340-nucleotide long non-coding RNA is filed under the name Homo sapiens (human). Its description in RNAcentral is "HSALNT0353563". Lineage: Eukaryota; Metazoa; Chordata; Mammalia; Primates; Hominidae. The record is from RNAcentral.